GAUGAAGAACGUAGCGAAAUGCGAUAAGUAAUGCGAAUUGCAGAAUUCAGUGAGUCAUCGAAUCUUUGAACGCUCAUUGCGCCCUGUGGUAUUCCGCAGGGCAUGCCUGUUCGAGCGUCAUUUCAACCCUCAAGCCCCGCUUGGUGUUGGGCCCCGCCCGCUGUGGCCGGCCCUAAAGACAGUGGCGGCGCCGCCUGGCCCUCAGCGUAGUACAUCUCUCGCUCCAGGGUCCGGUGGCCGCCUGCCAGAACCCCCCAACUCUGUGGUUGACCUCGGAUCAGGUAGGGAUACCCGCUGAACUUAAGCAUAUCAAUAAGCGGAGGA
Molecule: unclassified non-coding RNA, 324 nt
Filed under: soil metagenome
Description: partial contains 5.8S ribosomal RNA, internal transcribed spacer 2, and large subunit ribosomal RNA
Rfam family: 5.8S ribosomal RNA (bases 1-120)
Source: RNAcentral